Molecule: long non-coding RNA, 538 nt
Filed under: Populus trichocarpa (black cottonwood)
Lineage: Eukaryota; Viridiplantae; Streptophyta; Magnoliopsida; Malpighiales; Salicaceae
Description: long non-coding RNA (PTRI_LNC001229)
Source: RNAcentral
AUGGAAGUCGUCCACCUCAUUUCUGCAAGAGCAGUGGUUCUGUUGCACGUCACAUUCUUCAACAAUUGCAGAACAUGAACAUCAUCGAUGUUGAUCCUAAGGGGUGAAUUAUUUUCUUAAUGCCUUAUGUUAUCAUGUUUUCAAACUAUAGUUUCUUUAGCAUAGUUCAAAUUUCAAUAUGUUCUGCAAUGAAAUCCUGCUUUGUUGCUCACUUUAUCAUUUAACAAUUGAACUAGAUUGAUAAUUAUAAUACUUCUGAUACAAAAAGGAGUUUCCUAUAUUCUGAUGUGUUUAUUUUUGCUUAUGUAAUAGUGGGAGGAGAAUCACUUCAAGCGGUCAACGGGAUCUUGACCAAGUUGCUGGACGCAUUGUGGUGGCCCCUUGAACAAUCAGUGUUGAGCUAUGUUUCUGCUUUCGUACUUUUAGAUUUCAAUUUGCAGUCCUGUGGAGAGAUGUGACUGCAGCAACAAGAUUAUAUGUUAUGAAAUUUUUGGAUCCAACUGUUGAAUGUUUUGUAUUUGGACGUGGUUUUUGUUCU